UUAUUAGUUUAUAUAUAUAUAUAUAUAUAUAAAAGCAAAACGAAGAAGACGAGGAAGAGGUGGAUACGGUCACCGCGUCGGAGCUCAUGGCCGCGGCGGCGGAGGACACCGCGCGCACAGCCUCGGGGGGCGGCGCCGGCGCCGGAGGAGGAGGAGGUGGAUCACUGGGGAAUCACCCGACCCCUCCUCCUCCUCCUCCUCCUUCCCCGCUGCGCCCCCGCUCCAAAUCGCGCCUCCACAACUUCCGCUUCCCCACCUCCAGCUGGGGCGCCCACCGCAUCCUCCGCUGCGCCAAGAUCGAUCGCUCCUCCUCCUCCGCCGCCGCUGCCGAUCCCCCGACCCCGCUGCCGCCGGUGCCGAAGCGGGACCUCUCGCCCUCGCCCUCGCCCUCGUCCUCCUCCCCCUCGCCGGACGCCAAGCGCCGGAGCCUUAAACAGUCGCCGUCUCCGUCGCCGGCGGCGGCGGAGGAGGACUCGUCCUCAGCCGCAGCGGCGGCGGCGGCUGGGGCGGCGCGGCCGUGGAAUCUGCGGAUGAGGAGGGCGGCGUGCACGGCCCCCGCCCCCGCCCCCGCCCCCGCCGCCGCUCCGGCUCCGACGGCGGACGCGAAGGGGGAGGGGGGCGGAGCGGAGACGACGCGGCGGCCGUUCUCGGCGUCGCUGUCGAAGGAGGAGAUCGAGAUCGACUUCUUGCAGCUGCGGGGCUCGAAGCCCCCGCGCCGGCCCAAGAAGCGGCCCCGCAACGUCCAGCGGGUUCUCGACUUGCUCGUCCCCGGUAGCUCUUUGACAGAGAUAACGAAGGAAUUAUACGGAUGAUCGAGGAGUUAGCUGGUGUGAUCUCACUAGAUGGUUUUUCGUGGUGAAAAGUAUCUACUUUUGAGUUGCUGACUACUGUAGUAGGGCUCGGAAAAAUGCAAGUGUUGUUGUGCACUUCAAUCUUUGGCUUUGGGCGAAAACAAUGGGGGACACGGCGGUGGUGUCGACGGCUCGGGUGGUGACGAUAGCGGCGUGAUAGCGAUGACGUCUUGCUUAGGAGGCUCGGGUGGUGGGCGCAGUGGUGGCGGCGGUGAUGGCGGCGGUGGUGGCGGUGGCGGUGGCUUCAGCGACGACGGUGGCGGGCGCGGGCGCGGUCGGCUUGGGCGGCUUCGAAUCGCGUUGGCAACAACUCAGGCGAGGCAGCAGACGGCACCGGCUUGGGCAGCUUCGGGCGGCAUCGGUAGUGACUUUGGUGACAGUGGUGGGGGACGUGUCGGCAACAGCGAACAGAAAAGGGAAGAGCACAAUCACUUGUUUUAAUUUAAUUUUUUUGUUUUUAUUUUGUUUACUUUCUUUCUCUUAUACCUUCCUCUCCUUCUACUUUCUUCUUCUACUUCCUCCCCCCCUCUCUCUCUCUUUCUCUCUCUCUCUCUCUUUUACUUCUUCCUCACAGAGUCACAGUGCAAUUUUUUUUGUUUUGUUCACACUACAAUCUGUGGCAUUUGCUUGAUGUAGCCGAAGUCUCCUUUGUACUAUCCGUAGAUCCUACUCUCCCUUUCUUGAUUGCUCUAUUUAUAGAGCCUCCAAUGGUUGGCUCUUCAUGAA
Ananas comosus (pineapple) is the source of this 1577-nucleotide RNA transcript. It is a transcript of the gene named vegetative cell wall protein gp1-like, with no coding region annotated. NCBI's taxonomy places the organism in Eukaryota, Viridiplantae, Streptophyta, Magnoliopsida, Poales, Bromeliaceae. The transcript is spliced from 4 exons. The record is from RefSeq and is a predicted model, not a curated record.